RNAcentral lists this ribosomal RNA (484 nucleotides) under uncultured bacterium. RNAcentral describes it as "partial 16S ribosomal RNA". It matches the Rfam family "Bacterial small subunit ribosomal RNA", at positions 30 to 507 of the family's 1533-position model. The record is from RNAcentral.
AUUGAACGCUGGCGGCAGGCCUAACACAUGCAAGUCGAGCGGAUGAAGGGAGCUUGCUCCUGGAUUCAGCGGCGGACGGGUGAGUAAUGCCUAGGAAUCUGCCUGGUAGUGGGGGAUAACGUCCGGAAACGGGCGCUAAUACCGCAUACGUCCUGAGGGAGAAAGUGGGGGAUCUUCGGACCUCACCCUAUCUGAUGAGCCUAGGUCGGAUUAGCUAGUUGGUGGGGUAAAGGCCUACCAAGGCGACGAUCCGUAACUGGUCUGAGAGGAUGAUCAGUCACACUGGAACUGAGACACGGUCCAGACUCCUACGGGAGGCAGCAGUGGGGAAUAUUGGACAAUGGGCGAAAGCCUGAUCCAGCCAGGCCGCGUGUGUGAAGAAGGUCUUCGGAUUGUAAAGCACUUUAAGUUGGGAGGAAGGGCAGUAAGUUAAUACCUUGCUGUUUUGACGUUACCAACAGAAUAAGCACCGGCUAACUUCGUG